RNAcentral lists this ribosomal RNA (576 nucleotides) under Boettcheria cimbicis. RNAcentral's name for it is "partial 12S ribosomal RNA". The stretch from base 353 to 424 matches the Rfam family "tRNA". The record is from RNAcentral. Lineage: Eukaryota; Metazoa; Arthropoda; Insecta; Diptera; Sarcophagidae.
GAGGAACCUGUUUUGUAAUCGAUAAUCCACGAUGGACCUUACUUAAAUUUGUAAUCAGUUUAUAUACCGUCGUUAUUAGAAUAUUUUAUAAGAAUGUUAAUUUUCAAGAUUUUUAAUAAGAAAAUAUAUCAGAUCAAGGUGUAGCUUAUGUUUAAGUUUUAAUGGGUUACAAUAAAAUUAUUUAAAUGGAUAUAAAUUUGAAAAGUUUAUUGAAAGUGGAUUUGAUAGUAAAAUUAUAUAGAUAAAUAAUUUGAUUUUAGCUCUAAAAUAUGCACACAUCGCCCGUCACUCUUAUUAUUAAGGUAAGAUAAGUCGUAACAUAGUAGAUGUACUGGAAAGUGUACCUAGAAUGCAAUUUAAAGCUUAUUAAGUAAAGUAUUUCAUUUACAUUGAAAAGAUUUUUGUGCAAAUCAAUAUAAAUUGAUUAAAUUUUAUUUAUUAAUUUUUUUUUUGUUUUAUAUUUAUUAUAUUAAAAAUAAUUAUUAAUUGUUUUGUUUUAGUAUUUUAUAAGGAAAAAAUAAUUUUUAUUAUAGUUAAAUAGUAUUGUGAAAGAAAAUUGAAAUAAUUUGAAAAAUU